Molecule: non-coding RNA, 136 nt
Organism: Triticum aestivum (bread wheat)
Lineage: Eukaryota; Viridiplantae; Streptophyta; Magnoliopsida; Poales; Poaceae
Source: Rfam
CGAAUACUCCCUCCGUUCCAUAAUACAUGCUUUCUAUUUGUCAAAAUAUAGAUGUAUCUAGACAUGUUUUAGUAUAUAGAUAUAUCCAUUUUUGGACAAAUGGAAGUCAAUUAUUUUGGAAUGGAGGGAGUAGAAA